GUUUGGCUCUCAUGUUUGGAGGAACAGAUAAAGAAACAUCUGCAUUCGGUUAGAUAUGAAUCAAUUAGGUUGGCAUUAUCACUAGGCCUGCAGGGUUUUUCCAUAUAAUCCAAUUCUUAUUUCUCAUUCUUUGCACCAUCUCUUCCUACAAAGCAUAAUUUCUUCAUCAAACCAUUCCUCCGAUCCUCCUAUCCCAUCUCUCUAUGGCAACAUUUGGCAGACAGAAAGGAGUUUGGGUGGCAGUAUAUGUAGAGAGGCCUAGAUCAAGGAGAAGAUUGUUAUCAAAUAGCCGCCAGCCUCAGCACCAUCAUCAUCAUCACCAACACCUUCACCUUCAUCAGGAUUGUAAUACUAGAGGAUACAAUAGGAAAGCUCAGCUUCUCGAGUACUCAAGGCAACUUAGAGAAUCGGCUCGAUCUCAGGCAUCUUCUCCCUUGUUGCAUCCAAAGCCUGUUGCCAAUCAUAACCACCACCGACAACCUAUGACUCAGGUUAUCACUAAAAAUCAACUAAGCUGCAACCAUCUGUCACUUCCCCAGUGGUAUUUUGUAUCUUAUCUCGUUAGAAGCUCUUUGAGUUCCAUUUAUGUACAUAUAGGUGGAGAUAUAAAUGUCAACCAUUGUGAUUUCUUGACAGAUGAUUGCUGUUCAAAAGAUGAGAAGACAUGCAGUAACUCCAACUUGCAUGGGAAACUGGAAAUUGCUGGUACCUGGCUUUUUUAGAUCGUUGUUGAUGCCGCACAACAAGAAACCAAAGAACAAAAGGAAGAGAACAAACAAUCGAUCCACGGCUACCAAGAUAAAAGCUAUUAUGAAGAGCUUUCAGGUGAACAGGAGAAAGGGUUUUACGUCAAAAAUGUUUGCAACACUACGGAAACGUCGCUAGAAAUAUUCUUCAGCAAUGGAAGUGUCAAUUGUAGCUUUCAAUAAAUAUCUAUUCUCAAAAGUGUUCUUUUCUUGCUUUGUGAUAUUUCUCCUCCCAACGUCGAUGUAUGACUCUUUCUACCUCCUCCAAUCCAGACCAUUCAUUUUUAUUUAACCCCUCAUGGAUUGUGAGGGAGGGGUUUAAUGGGAAGGUACAGCGUUAUAGAAGCUUGAUCUGUAAUAGUUCGAUCCAAUAAUUUCAAUUUGGAUGAAUGAAAUUUUACACAAUUUUCUUGUA
Coffea arabica (coffee) is the source of this 1161-nucleotide non-coding RNA. Lineage: Eukaryota; Viridiplantae; Streptophyta; Magnoliopsida; Gentianales; Rubiaceae. The record is from RefSeq and is a predicted model, not a curated record.